CAUGGGCAGAAAGGUGAAAAUUGUGGCCAGAGGCAGAUUGUGGUAAAUUACAAAAUUGGCUCAUAAUCCUUUAUUCCUUCUUGCCUCCAUGCUCUUUGCAAUGUGACUUUGCCACUUUUCUCAUUAAGAGAUGGAUUCUGUUCUCCAUUGCCUUCUGUCUGGACUGGUCUUGUAACUUGUUCUGGUUAAUACAGAGGUAAAUGUGAUGACACAUCAGAAGCCCAGGCCUCAAGCAAGCUUUCCCACUUGUUCUCUUGGAACCCUUCCCAGCUAUCAGGUAAAUAAGCCCAGGCUAUUGUGCUGGAUGAUGAGAGGUCACUGGAACACUGAUGAGCCAUAACAGCUGAGGCCAUUCUAGAAUAGGCAGCUUUAGCCAACCAGGCAGCUGACUGCAGAUACAGGCCUGCAUCCAGAUGAGUCCAGAAAAGCAACCUAGACACUACUGGCAAAGACAUUGAAAAGAAUCACACUGCUAAACCAGUAGCAGCUUUUAUCUUCUUCUCAGAUUGUAUACAUGCAGGAUAAAAGUGUUUCUAACACAUAGACUUCUAUAUUCCAGCAUAAAGAUGUAUUAGGCGCAUUUAUACUUUUACAUCGAAGCCUGUUUCAACAUGAACGGAGCCCAGGGAAGUUGGUGACUUAAUCCUCGUUAUACCCUGAUUUUGGACAAAUUUUACAAGAAGAAUAGGACUUCUACUUCUCUAUGUCUACAUGCACCUGGAACAGUGCUAGGUCUAUGCUUACAAAUUGAUUGGUUCAGGUCACCGCCAUGAGCCUCAGGACAGAAAAUUGCCGGAUAUGAGAGAGAGAGAGAGAUUUGACUGGGCUAAGAAAGAAAUGAACACGAUUUAGAGAUGGAAAUGGUGACAUAUGGGCCUUUGAAGCCUCCCAUGUUCCAGAGAAGCCUUUUCUAGCUGAUCUCCCACCAUGACAUCCUUCCCCCACAGCUGGUUUGUC
RNAcentral lists this long non-coding RNA (957 nucleotides) under Homo sapiens (human). RNAcentral describes it as "HSALNT0306394". Lineage: Eukaryota; Metazoa; Chordata; Mammalia; Primates; Hominidae. The record is from RNAcentral.